CACGUAGGGCGCAAGCGUUGUCCGGAAUUACUGGGCGUAAAGAGCUCGUAGGUGGUUUGUCGCGUUGUUCGUGAAAACUCACAGCUCAACUGUGGGCGUGCGGGCGAUACGGGCAGACUAGAGUACUGCAGGGGAGACUGGAAUUCCUGGUGUAGCGGUGGAAUGCGCAGAUAUCAGGAGGAACACCAAUAGCGAAGGCAGCUCGCUGGGACGUUACUGACACUGAGGCGCGAAAGCGUGGGGAGCGAACAGG
This 253-nucleotide ribosomal RNA is filed under the name uncultured bacterium. Its description in RNAcentral is "partial 16S ribosomal RNA". It matches the Rfam family "Bacterial small subunit ribosomal RNA", at positions 524 to 776 of the family's 1533-position model. The record is from RNAcentral.